CCUACGGGGGACAGCAGUAGGGAAUCUUUCACAAUGGGCGAAAGCCUGAUGGAGCAACGCCGCGUGCAGGAUGAAGGCCUUCGGGUUGUAAACUGCUUUUAUAAGCGAGAAAUAUGAUGGUAACUUAUGAAUAGGGAUCGGCUAACUACGUGCCAGCAGCCGCGGUCAUACGUAGGAUCCGAGCAUUAUCCGGAGUGACUGGGUGUAAAGAGUUGCGUAGGUGGCAUAAUAAGUAGCUAGUGAAAUCUGGUGGCUCAACCAUUCAGACUAUUAGCUAAACUGUUAAGCUCGAGACCGUUAGGGGUAACUGGAAUUUCUAGUGUAGGAGUGAAAUCCGUAGAUAUUAGAAGGAACACCAAUAGCGUAGGCAGGUUGCUGGGACGGUUCUGACACUAAGGCACGAAAGCGUAGGGAGCAAACGGGAUUAGAUACCCCGGUAGUC
Molecule: ribosomal RNA, 442 nt
Filed under: uncultured bacterium
Lineage: Bacteria
Description: partial 16S ribosomal RNA
Rfam family: Bacterial small subunit ribosomal RNA
Source: RNAcentral